UUUAAAUUGAGAGUUUGAUCCUGGCUCAGGACGAACGCUGGCGGCGUGCUUAACACAUGCAAGUCGAGCGAAGCUAUUCCUUCGGGGAU
Molecule: ribosomal RNA, 89 nt
Filed under: Clostridium algidicarnis DSM 15099
Lineage: Bacteria; Bacillati; Bacillota; Clostridia; Eubacteriales; Clostridiaceae
Description: partial 16S ribosomal RNA
Rfam family: Bacterial small subunit ribosomal RNA
Source: RNAcentral